CAAAUGUUCUUCGUGAACAUGGCGGACUGCGUCAGUAACACGUGGAUAACCUGCCCUUAGGAUUGGCAUAACACCGGGAAACUGGUGAUAAUACCGAAUAGACCAUUUAUGCUGGAAUGCUUUUUGGUUCAAAGGCUUCGGCUGCCUAAGGAUGGAUCUGCGGCCUAUCAGGUAGUAGUGGGUGUAAUGUACCUACUAGCCUACGACGGGUACGGGUUGUGAGAGCAAGAGCCCGGAGAUGGAUUCUGAGACAUGAAUCCAGGCCCUACGGGGCGCAGCAGGCGCGAAAACUUUACAAUGCGGGAAACCGCGAUAAGGGGACACUGAGUGCCAGCAUAUUAUGUUGGCUGUCCACAUGUAUAAAAACCAUGUGUUAGCAAGGGCCGGGCAAGACCGGUGCCAGCCGCCGCGGUAACACCGGCGGCCCGAGUGGUGAUCACUUUUAUUGGGUCUAAAGGGUCCGUAGCCGGUUUAAUCAGUCUUCUGGGAAAUCUGACAGCUCAACUGUUAGGCUUUCAGGGGAUACUGUUAGACUUGGGACCGGGAGAGGUAAGAGGUACUACAGGGGUGGGAGUGAAAUCUUGUAAUCCCUGUGGGACCACCAGUGGCGAAGGCGUCUUACCAGAACGGGUCCGACGGUGAGGGACGAAAGCUGGGGGCACGAACCGGAUUAGAUACCCGGGUAGUCCCAGCCGUAAACGAUGUUCGCUAGGUGUCAGGGACGGUGCGACCGUUUCUGGUGCCGUAGGGAAGCCGUGAAGCGAACCACCUGGGAAGUACGGCCGCAAGGCUGAAACUUA
This 800-nucleotide ribosomal RNA is filed under the name uncultured archaeon. RNAcentral describes it as "bacterial SSU rRNA". It matches the Rfam family "Archaeal small subunit ribosomal RNA", at positions 59 to 858 of the family's 1478-position model. The record is from RNAcentral.